UGGGGAAUAUUGCACAAUGGGCGAAAGCCUGAUGCAGCGACGCCGCGUGAGGGAUGACGGCCUUCGGGUUGUAAACCUCUUUCAGUAGGGACGAAGCGCAAGUGACGGUACCUGCAGAAGAAGCACCGGCUAACUACGUGCCAGCAGCCGCGGCAAUACGUAGGGUGCGAGCGUUGUCCGGAAUUACUGGGCGUAAAGAGCUCGUAGGCGGUUUGUCACGUCGUCUGGGAAAUCCUAGGGCUUAACCCUGGACGUGCAGGCGAUACGGGCUGACUUGAGUACUACAGGGGAGACUGGAAUUUCUGGUGUAGCGGUGGAAUGCACAGAUAUCAGGAAGAACACCGAUGGCGAAGGCAGGUCUCUGGGUAGUAACUGACGCUGAGGAGCGAAAGCAUGGGUAGCGAACAGG
This 409-nucleotide ribosomal RNA is filed under the name bacterium. RNAcentral's name for it is "partial 16S ribosomal RNA". It matches the Rfam family "Bacterial small subunit ribosomal RNA", at positions 355 to 776 of the family's 1533-position model. The record is from RNAcentral.